CGGGAGCAGGGAAGGCAGGCCAGGCCCGAAAAUGCAUUCGCGGUGACAUCACUGCCUUUCCCACAGAGCCAUUGACACGGGAGGCCACAGUGCCCAUUCACUGCCCCAAAGCCGCUCUCCAGGCCCCGGGAGCCACCUCCCUCUUCCUGAAUGCCGUUUUUGUUGGGAAACAGUGGAGCGUUUCUGAAGGCCUGCAUAAAUGACUGAGUAAUUCACUGCAGUUGCCAGGAAGUCUGAGCCACUUGUGAGCCAACAAUAGUGAACUUUAUCUCCCGCCCCAAGCUGGAAGUUCCAGCUGUAGGUCCCGAAUUCUAAUGAGGGCCCUACUCAUGCCUCUGAGGUUAUGGUGAUAUUUUACCCAUCUUUUCUUUUUCUUUUUCUUUUUUAACCAAGACACUGUUAUUGCUGCUACUGAGAACCGGAGCUGAAAACUCGGCAGCCAAGGCUGGUGAUGUGCUUGGCAUGAGCAUGGGGCCGUUAGUUCCCUGGUGUAUAGGGAAAUGCCUGGCUCACUGCUUAGCAAUCGCCUAUCUCAGGCCAAUUCUGCCUUAAAAGCUGGUUCUCAGCUAGCUGAACUAGAAGUCAACGCGCCACCUUGUCGGCCCAAGGACACACCCUAAAGUGCCAGCAGAGAAGGUCAAGAAUUCUAAUCCCCUGGGUGACCCCAGAAGGAAGGAUUCUAGUGGCUGGUCACUGUGAUGACAGACAGACACUAUGAAGAACUUCCCAUGUGGGCUCUCAUACCCAUGGCCCCAGUUGCUCUCCAGGAUGUCCCUCAGAGGUGACUAGCAUUUCAACCACACCUAUACCAGUGUCUGGGGACCCACUGUGGCCUUUGUAGGUGGCAGAGGUCUGUUUCUCCAGCUCCUAAGGUCUGUUUCAGGUUUCUCAUGAUCUUCUUGAAUAGGAGCCCCUCAUCAAGAUCAGAGGUCUCCUGAGGGUGGGGUGGGGGACGGCAUGUGCCUGACAGCUUGACCUCCUUGUCCAUCCUUCCAUGAAAAUAUACCAAAUAAAACAUCAGGAGUCAUGCGUUCA
Long non-coding RNA from Marmota monax (woodchuck), 1035 nucleotides. RefSeq lists it as uncharacterized. NCBI's taxonomy places the organism in Eukaryota, Metazoa, Chordata, Mammalia, Rodentia, Sciuridae. The transcript has 2 exons. The record is from RefSeq and is a predicted model, not a curated record.